Molecule: ribosomal RNA, 474 nt
Filed under: Triticum aestivum (bread wheat)
Lineage: Eukaryota; Viridiplantae; Streptophyta; Magnoliopsida; Poales; Poaceae
Description: partial small subunit ribosomal RNA
Source: RNAcentral
AUGAACACAAAAACAUAUAUCAUAAAAAGCGCCAAUCCUUUAGUUGAUGAUGUUGAAAUAGUGCUUGGGUGUCAACAGGUUGAUCAUCUUGUAUCUUGUAAUGUCACAGAUUCAACAUUCUCAUCAAUCCAGAGUACUUGUGUUGUGGCUUCAAGCAAUUCACCUAAAGUUCCAGCCAACACAUGUAUUGGGAAACAAAAUGUAAUUGUUGGCACAUCUGACAAACAUGGAAACAACAAAGCAGACGACAUGCAUCAGAAACGUGAAGCUGGAACUGGGGGAGAUAACCAUUGUAUUGAAAGCAGCAGCAAAGGCACUCCAGAACCGAUGAAUACUCAUGGAGCUGAUGGCAAAGAAGCUGACAUAGUGGGAACCCCAAAGGCCAAGAAUGUGUCACAUGAUAGUAGCUCGGAUGUUGAUGCUAAAAUGAAGUUAACAGUGACGAGGUGCCACUAUCGAAAAUACGUAAGUUGA